UAUAACUACAAAUAUAUGGUAGCUCCAAUAAACGCAAUCUACCAACAUUUGUUCUUGUUCUACAAACCUUAAAUUACUUUUCAUUAAACAGAAAUUUUGAAAUCAAAUUCCACAACAGUCGCAUGAUAAACAUUAGUAAAUUUAUCGAGAAAAAGAAGAAAAAAUAAACCGACAAGGCGGUGGUGGGAUUGAAGAAGAAGAAGAAAUUAACCGACAAGGCGGUGGUGGACAACGGCUGAGAUCAGCUAGAUUUCUUUACUUUGCUCCGGCGAUCUCUCGUCUCUCUCCGGCGAUUUUAUUGUGAGAAAUGUCUUUGCUCUCGGCUUUGCUCCGGCGAUCUCUCUCGUCUCUCUCGUCUCUCUCCGGUGAUCCCGUCAUGGGUUUUCAGAGUUGCUAAGCUGACAGAGUAGUAAUGAGAUUGGGAAGAUGGGUUUAUUGAAGAAAAAGGAUUCAACUUCAGACAACAACAUAUUAACGAUGAUUGCCGACAAGAAGAAGAAGAAGACAAGAAGCUGUUGGUCACGGACAAGAAGCUUUUGGUCACGGACAAGAAGCAAUCACGGACCUGCAUCUUUUUCUCACGGACAAGAAAGCUUUUGCUUAGAGUCACAUGUUAUGUUCACGGACGAGAGUGUCAUGCCUUUGUAACACCACAAGGUCAUCAAUAUAUAAGACCAUCUUCGUAGACACAUAAAUAUCAAGCUUUUUCAUCUUUGUACCCACAAUUUGUACUCACAAUAUCAAGCUUUUUCA
Molecule: non-coding RNA, 753 nt
Organism: Camelina sativa (false flax)
Lineage: Eukaryota; Viridiplantae; Streptophyta; Magnoliopsida; Brassicales; Brassicaceae
Source: RefSeq, a predicted model, not a curated record